Molecule: ribosomal RNA, 301 nt
Filed under: uncultured bacterium
Lineage: Bacteria
Description: partial 16S ribosomal RNA
Rfam family: Bacterial small subunit ribosomal RNA
Source: RNAcentral
CAGCCGCCGCGGGAAUACAGAGGGUGCGAGCGUUAAUCGGAUUUACUGGGCGUAAAGCGCGCGUAGGUGGUUCGCCAAGUUGGAUGUGAAAUCCCCGGGCUCAACCUGGGAACUGCAUCCAAAACUGGCGAGCUAGAGUAUGGUAGAGGGUGGUGGAAUUUCCUGUGUAGCGGUGAAAUGCGUAGAUAUAGGAAGGAACAUCAGUGGCGAAGGCGACCACCUGGACUGAUACUGACACUGAGGUGCGAAAGCGUGGGGAGCAAACAGGAUUAGAUACCCCGGUAGUCCCUGUCUCUUAUAC